GCUACGGCACAUGGUGGAUGCCUUGGCACUGAGAGGCGAUGAAGGACGUAGCAGCCUGCGAUAAGCUCCGGGGAGGUGGCAAGCAACCUUUGAGCCGGAGAUUUCCGAAUGGGGAAACCCUGCCGUGCAAACCACGGCAAGCUGUGCUUUGUCCAGAGUUUCUGUGCAGAGCACGGCGGCAAACCUGGGGAAGUGAAACAUCUCAGUACCCAGAGGAAAAGAGAAUAAAAAUUAUUCCCUGAGUAGUGGCGAGCGAAAGGGGAAGAGCCUAAACUUGUCUAAAAUUUUAGAUAAGGGUUGUGGGAAAUUAUCAUUUCUAAGGUCCUAACCUUAGAGGAGUAAUCAAAAACUUCCUUAGAAGAAUGGUUUGGAAUAGCCAGCCAAAGAAGGUGAAAGCCCUGUAUUCAAAAAGGGUUUUUGACUUCGGAUAAUUUUCCCGAGUAUGUCGAUGAAAAGGUUACGUCGACAGAAUCAAGGAGUACUAUCUCCUAAGGCUAAAUACUCCUCAGUGACCGAUAGUGAACAAGUACCGUGAGGGAAAGGUGAAAAGUAGGUCGGUGAGGCCGCUGAAAAGUACCUGAAACCAUGUGCUAACAAGGAGUAGGAGCCCGCCCAAAUUUUGUCAUGGAAAUAAAAAAUGAAUAAUUAUUCAAGAAAAUUAUUUUUGAGAAACAUUAACCCAAAAUUCAAUGACAAAACUUGGGUGGGUGACUGCGUUCCUAUUGAAGAAUGAGCCAGCGAGUUUAUCUUGGUGGCAAGGUUAAUCCCGAUAAAUCGAGAGAAACCAAAGCGAAAGCAAGUCUUAAAUGGGCGUUAAGUCACCAGGAUAAGACCCGAAGCCGGGUGAGCUACCCAUGGCCAGGAUGAAUCCCAACGAAAGUCGGGAGGAGGUCCGAACCCGUUAGUCGUGCAAAGCUAUGGGAUGAGCUGUGGGUAGGGGUAAAAUGCCAAUCGAACCCGGGGAUAGCUGGUACUCCCCGAAAUAGCUGUAGGGCUAGCCUUUCCGUGGCGACCAGGGGUAGAGCUACUGAAUAGACUAAGGUGGAGUAAUCCUACUUGGUCUAAUCAAACUCCGAAUACUGGUCUUGCUUUACGGAGGGAGUCAGUCUAUGGGGGCUAAGCUCCAUACGACAAAAGGGAAACAGCCCUAAUCUUUAUCUAAGGUCCCUAAUUUUAGGCUAAGUGUAAAAGCAGUGAAAUGACUUAAACAACCAGGAGGUAGGCUUAGAAGCAGCCAUCCUUUAAAGAAAGCGUAAUAGCUCACUGGUCGAGUUGUUUUGCGCUGAAAAUUUAUCGGGACUAAAGCCUAAAACCGAAGAUAAGACUCCGGCCUUGGUCGGAAGGUAGGGGAGCAUUCUGAUAGCAGUGAAGCUCCGAUGUAAAUUGGAGUGGAGUGGUCAGAAGAGAGAAUGCUGGCAUAAGUAGCAAGACUAGGGAUGAAAAAUCCCUUCGCCGAAAGUCCAAGGUUUCUUCCGCAACGAUAAUCGUCGGGAGGUUAGGCGGUCCUAAGCUGAAGCCGAAAGGCAAAAGUGAUGGAUAGCCGGUUAAUAUUCCGGCCCUUCCUAUUUUUUCGAAGGAGUGACGUUUCUUCUUAUUUUGAGCAUGAUUUGGCUAUUCAUGUCUAAGUAAAGAAUGGGUCUGCUAGGGAAAUCCGGCAGAUAAAAGUUCUUUACAAAUGAAACUUCGCAAGAAGAAUUCAAGAGUCGAGGGAACCAAGAAAAACUUCUAAGAAUAAAAAAUAGGAAACCGUACCGCAAACCAACACAGGUGGACGGGCAGAGAAUGCUCAGGCGAAUGAGAGAACCCUCGUUAAGGAACUCGGCAAAAAAGUGGCCGUAAGUUCGCAAUAAGGCCUCCCGCCAAAAUUUUUGCCUAAGCAAAAACUUAAGCGGGCGCAGCGAAAGUUUCUCACGCGACUGUUUACCAAAAACACAGGUCCCUGCACAAAGCGUAAGCUGAGAUAUAGGGGCUGAUGCCUGGCCAGUGUCAGAAGGUUAAGGAGAGAGGUAAAACGCGAGCCUAGCUCGCGUCGAGCUUCAAACCUAAGCCCUGAUGAACGCCGGCGAUAACUAUAGUUAGAACAAUUGUAGUUAUAAAAUCUGGCUGUAUGCUGGAAAAUCCUGUAAGACUGGCAUUACUUUAAAAUUUUGUACCAUAAAAGUAGGUACUAAUAAUUUUGAAGUAAAAAUAUGUCCAGUAGGGACAAUCAGCAGGAAACCUUAUUUUAUUAUUUGGUUGGUUUUGUUGAUGGAGAGGGGAGUUUUAAUGUUUCGAUUAGGAAGCAUCUCGAUUAUCGAAUUAAAUGGAAAACCUCUUUAACCUUUAAUGUUUCUCAGAGGGAAAGAAGAUUCUAUCUCUUCUUAAGAGAGUGCUUAAGUGUGGAUAUGUAAGACAAAGGAAAAAUGGAAUUUGCUAUUUUGAAGUAGUUAAGUUAAAAGAUAUCAUUGAUCGUGUUAUUCCAUUUUUUCGAGAAUUUCCUCUCAGAUCAGAAAAGAAAAUUGACUUUGAAAUUUUUAGUGAAAUUGCAGAAAUGAUAGAAAAGAAACAGCAUUUAACCAAGAAGGGUAUAAAGAAAAUCCUUAAGUUAAGAGAGUUGAUGAAUAAAGGUGGUAAAAACAGAAGAUUGAAAAUUGAAGAUAUUUUUAAGAAUAUAAAAUAAGGGAUCCUCAGAGACUAUACGCCAGACCCCAAUGUAGUAUUGGGAAUGAUAUAGUCCGAUCUCAUAGGAGACUAUGAGUUAACAUAAAUGAAUCGUCCUAUGGUAGCGUAAUCCCUUGCCGGGUGAGUUCCGGCCUGCACGAAUGGCAUAACGACGUGAGAACUGUCUCAACGAGGGACUCAGCGAAAUUGCGAGACCCGUGAAGACGCGGGUUACCUCCGACUAGACGAAAAGACCCCGUGAACCUUUACUACAGCUUGGCAUUGAAUUAGGAUUGAAUCUGUUGAGCGUAGGUGGGACUCCGACAUUAUGUCAGAGGACAAUGAAACACCACCCUGAUUUAA
RNAcentral lists this ribosomal RNA (3003 nucleotides) under hot springs metagenome. RNAcentral's name for it is "bacterial LSU rRNA". It matches the Rfam family "Bacterial large subunit ribosomal RNA", at positions 1 to 2213 of the family's 2925-position model. The record is from RNAcentral.